UGGGGAAUAUUGCACAAUGGGGGAAACCCUGAUGCAGCGACGCCGCGUGAGUGAAGAAGUACCUCGGUAUGUAAAGCUCUGUCAGCAGGGAAGAAAGAAAUGACGGUACCUGACCAAGAAGCACCGGCUAAAUACGUGCC
This 140-nucleotide ribosomal RNA is filed under the name uncultured bacterium. RNAcentral describes it as "partial 16S ribosomal RNA". It matches the Rfam family "Bacterial small subunit ribosomal RNA", at positions 355 to 509 of the family's 1533-position model. The record is from RNAcentral.